UGCGUAGGCGGUCGGGUAAGUCUGAUGUGAAAUCUCCAAGCUCAACUUGGAAAUGGCAUCGGAUACUAUUCGGCUCGAGGAAUGGAGGGGAGACUGGAAUACUUGGUGUAGCAGUGAAAUGCGUAGAUAUCAAGUGGAACACCAGUGGCGAAGGCGAGUCUCUGGACAUUUCCUGACGCUGAGGCACGAAAGGCCAGGGGAGCAAACG
Molecule: ribosomal RNA, 208 nt
Filed under: uncultured bacterium
Lineage: Bacteria
Description: partial 16S ribosomal RNA
Rfam family: Bacterial small subunit ribosomal RNA
Source: RNAcentral